RNAcentral lists this transfer RNA (20 nucleotides) under Cassinia arcuata. RNAcentral's name for it is "partial tRNA-His". The record is from RNAcentral. Lineage: Eukaryota; Viridiplantae; Streptophyta; Magnoliopsida; Asterales; Asteraceae.
CAAGGCCGUGGAUUUGUGAA